UAACCCCUCAAGCUCAGCUUGGUGUUGGGGCCUGCCAUCUGGCAGCCCUUAAAAUCAGUGGCGGUGCCAUCUGGCUCUAAGCGUAGUAAAUUUUCUCGCUACAGAGUUCUGAAGGAUGCUUGCCAUCAACCCCCAAUUUUUUAU
This 144-nucleotide unclassified non-coding RNA is filed under the name uncultured Helotiales. RNAcentral describes it as "sequence contains ITS2". The record is from RNAcentral. Lineage: Eukaryota; Fungi; Ascomycota; Leotiomycetes; Helotiales.